GAUGAACGCUGGCGGCGUGCCUAAUACAUGCAAGUCGAGCGAACAGAUGAGGAGCUUGCUCCUCUGACGUUAGCGGCGGACGGGUGAGUAACACGUGGAUAACCUACCUAUAAGACUUGGAUAACUUCGGGAAACCGGAGCUAAUACCGGAUAAUAUAUUGAACCGCAUGGUUCAAUAGUGAAAGACGGUUUUGCUGUCACUUAUAGAUGGAUCCGCGCGGCAUUAGCUAGUUGGUAAGGUAACGGCUUACCAAGGCAACGAUGCGUAGCCGACCUGAGAGGGUGAUCGGCCACACUGGAACUGAGACACGGACCAGACUCCUACGGGAGGCAGCAGUAGGGAAUCUUACGCAAUGGGCGAAAGCCUGACGGAGCAACGCCGCGUGAGUGAUGAAGGUCUUCGGAUCGUAAAACUCUGUUAUUAGGGAAGAACAAAUGUGUAAGUAACUAUGCACGUCUUGACGGUACCUAAUCAGAAAGCCACGGCUAACUACGUG
Molecule: ribosomal RNA, 497 nt
Filed under: uncultured bacterium
Lineage: Bacteria
Description: partial 16S ribosomal RNA
Rfam family: Bacterial small subunit ribosomal RNA
Source: RNAcentral